GGGGAUUUAGCUCAGUUGGUAGAGCGCUUGCCUAGGAAGUGCAAGGCGCAAGGCCCUGGGUUCGGUCCCCAGCUCCG
This is a non-coding RNA of Rattus norvegicus (Norway rat), 77 nucleotides long. The record is from Rfam. NCBI's taxonomy places the organism in Eukaryota, Metazoa, Chordata, Mammalia, Rodentia, Muridae.